RNAcentral lists this ribosomal RNA (527 nucleotides) under Ptychographa xylographoides. RNAcentral's name for it is "eukaryotic LSU rRNA". The stretch from base 189 to 342 matches the Rfam family "5.8S ribosomal RNA". The record is from RNAcentral. Lineage: Eukaryota; Fungi; Ascomycota; Lecanoromycetes; Baeomycetales; Xylographaceae.
GAAGGAUCAUUAAAGAGAUAGGGUCCUCGAGGCCCGAACCUCCCACCCUUUGUGCACUUACCUUUGUUGCUUUGACGGACCGCGGGGUUCUGCAGACCCCCCGUUGACUUCGGUGGACGAGUUUCCGUCAGAGACCCCCUAAAUUCAGCUUAUUUUGUGAUGUCCGAGUCAUAACACAAUCGUUUUAAAACUUUCAACAACGGAUCUCUUGGUUCUGGCAUCGAUGAAGAACGCAGCGAAAUGCGAUAAGUAAUGUGAAUUGCAGAAUUCAGUGAAUCAUCGAAUCUUUGAACGCACAUUGCGCCCUCUGGUAUUCCGGGGGGCAUGCCUGUUCGAGCGUCAUUACACCUCUCAAGCACCGCUUGGUAUUGGGUGGUAGCCCCGUGGGGCUCACCUGAAAGUUAGCGGCGACGCGGUCGGUCUUCAAGCGUAGUAAAACUUAACGUUUCGCUUCUGGAGCCCGGGUGCGUUCGCCGGAUAACCCCUUAUUUUUUAAAUGGUUGACCUCNGAUCAGGUAGGGAUACCC